GACGAACGCUGGCGGCGUGCUUAACACAUGCAAGUCGAACGGUAAGGCCCUUCGGGGUACACGAGUGGCGAACGGGUGAGUAACACGUGGGUGAUCAGCCCUGCACUUCGGGAUAAGCCUGGGAAACUGGGUCUAAUACCGGAUAGGACUCCUGCCUGCAUGGGUGGGGGUGGAAAGCUUUUGUGGUGUGGGAUGGGCCCGCGGCCUAUCAGCUUGUUGGUGGGGUGAUGGCCUACCAAGGCGACGACGGGUAGCCGGCCUGAGAGGGUGACCGGCCACACUGGGACUGAGAUACGGCCCAGACUCCUACGGGAGGCAGCAGUGGGGAAUAUUGCACAAUGGGCGCAAGCCUGAUGCAGCGACGCCGCGUGAGGGAUGACGGCCUUCGGGUUGUAAACCUCUUUCAGCACAGACGAAGCGCAAGUGACGGUAUGUGCAGAAGAAGGACCGGCCAACUACGUGCCAGCCGCCGCAGUAA
This 478-nucleotide ribosomal RNA is filed under the name uncultured bacterium. Its description in RNAcentral is "partial 16S ribosomal RNA". It matches the Rfam family "Bacterial small subunit ribosomal RNA", at positions 28 to 523 of the family's 1533-position model. The record is from RNAcentral.